Molecule: unclassified non-coding RNA, 2307 nt
Filed under: Leishmania donovani
Lineage: Eukaryota; Euglenozoa; Kinetoplastea; Trypanosomatida; Trypanosomatidae
Description: gene:LdHU3.25.0730(CDS-product:hypothetical_prote in_conserved)
Source: RNAcentral
UUCUCCAGCUGCCCCGGUUCUUGCACCUACCAUCUUCGCAGUUCUGCGCCGCCGCCGCCGCCGCUAAGGUGUCACUGUGUUGGCGCAUUGCCGCCGCGGUUGCCUUUUUCAUUCUUCGCUGCACCCCCGAUUUCGUCACCCGCAAUCCACUUGAAGAGAUAUUCCGCCACCGGCACUCCCAAAAGCAGAAACACCUUUUCUUUCACACGUGGCGUUGUCGCGAUGCCGAUUCGCCGCUCUGCGUUGACCGCCGUGGAGGUGGUCCUCGCGCGCGAGGCUUGCGAGCCGGUGCUAUCGAACGUGACACACCGCCUUCUGCGUGGCGGUUUUGCCGAAUACGUCAAGUUCAGGCGGGCGUACGCGAAGGAGUGCGAGCGUGCUGUGGCGUCGGCCAAGUCGACGUCGACUGAGUUGCCCUCCACCGGGGCUUUUCAACCGCCGCCGCCGCAGACGAUGCGAGUUGCAUCGGCAUCUGCUGCAACGGCACACGCAGCCGGGUUCUCCCCCUCUUCCUCCACGCCAACACAACAGAUUCGGCGCCGCCGAAUCAACCCUGAGGGGCUGAAGGUGGUCUUCGCACAGUCUGGCGUCCUCCUCACCCCGGAUGACUACGCGGCAAUACUCCUUGCCUACAGUGACCCGGUGGGCUUUGCGCUGGCCGACGAUCUACUGGAGGCGCUGCAUCCAUGCCGGCAAACCCCGCCGGCUCUGACGCAAUCCGUGUCUGAGGUGGCUUCGUCGACCCUUUUUUCCACGCUGCCGCUGCCGUGCGUGUCUGUGACGAUGGAUAGUGCGCGAGAUACCCUCUCCGCUAUCUUUGCUGCCGAACUCUCUCGCGAGGAGGAGAGCGCUGUGGAUGUGCGAACGGCUGCAGACCAGUUGUCUGCGCUGGUAGUAGCCCAAGCUGAUUUGCAGGCAACCUUCGCAUCGACAGUCUACGCCGAAGGGGCAGCGGUGCCCUGCGACGACGUGACGACCUUCAUCGUACUCACCCUCCAGCAGCACCCAUGCCUGGUAGCGAUGAUGCCCGCGCGGUGCAGCUCUGUGGCUGCUUCCCUGCAGCUGGUGCCGGCACCACCUCCACUCGGCCAGGGCGCGACCUCUCCUCUAGCAGCCGCGACUGCCUCCGGCACUAGCGGCACCGCGCUCUUCAGCAUCCGCCAUACGGGCUCGACGACGAAGCGCAAGUUUGAGCGGUACGAGGAGGACAAGGAUCGCCGCGACGAGUGGAUACGUGGCCGCGAAGAGGCGGAUGCACGGCCGAUGUACAUGCGCCACGCUGCUGGCUACGGUGGCCACUUGCCGGAGUACCAGUACCACUUUGGGCGCACCUUCCACGUCAUCGAAGAGGAUCUACCGCAGCUGACGAAGCCGAAGCCGCCGCUGGAGCCGGUGCCGGCCGACUGGUACGGGCCUGGGGUGGAGCUCAAGGAUAGCCGCAUGAAUGCGCAUCACUACCGACUUGCGUAGUGCUUCCCACCUUCUCCCCUACAGGUGGUACGAGGCGAGCGAUAGCCGAAGGGGCAAGAGCUCUUUUUGCGGAGGUGGGACGAUGGAGUACUGCCAGUACCUGCUAAUUAUGGCGGCGGCGACGUGCCACCAUGGCACCACCGUCUCGGAGAACUCUGCCCCGUCGUAGUCCUUCACACAAACGCGAACCCGGCUCAUCUCCCUCGCUCUCCCAUCCCCCCGACUCUUUCGAAUACGCCGCGAAUGGUCUGCAUGUACGUAAAAGACAGAGACACAUGCACCACUGCUGCUUCGUCGGACGCACGGCAGAUCUUGUGGAGGGGGCAGGGCCUGUAGGAAAAGAUGACAGAGGAGGGAAGGGAUCCUGCAGAGGGCGACGUGCUUUGGCCUCUCAGCUGCCCUCUGCCCCGCUCUCUUCUUUCUCCCCACCCGUCCUCUGAAUGUCUCCCCCCCCCUCGCACACAAAUUCGCCCUCGCUGAUGCCGCUUCUCGUGCGGGUGCUCUUGUGUGUGCGCCGGAUGUACUCAUUUCUUGUUCUUCGGUUCGUGUUGUACUUGGGGUUUCACUUUCAUUGGCCAGCACCUCAUCAUAGCCAUGUAGCUGUGUUCUCACCCCCUUCCUUUCCUCUCCGCCGAAUUCCGCCGCCUUUUCGGAGCGUCUUUUCUUCCUCCUCCGCGCGUGCGCACCCUCGACGUGCAUGUCUCCGUCUCCGUGUAUGUGUAUGUGUGUAUGCUUGUUGCCGUAUCCCUUUUCCUCUCUCUUGCUUGCACGUACUCAUCGUCACGCGCCUGGAGCGAACCACUAGAGGCACGUAUGCAAAAUACCAAACAAAAAACG